CUCCGGUUGAUCCUGCCGGACCUGACUGCUAUCGGAUUGGUACUAAGCCAUGCGAGUCGUUGUAGCAAUACAAGGCGGACGGCUCAGUAACACGUAGUCAACCUAACCUAUGGACGUGGAUAACCUCGGGAAACUGAGAAUAAACCGCGAUAGAUCAUUAUGCCUGGAAUGGCUUAUGGUUCAAACAAUUUAUUGCCGUAGGAUGGGACUGCGGCCUAUCAGCUUGUUGGUGAGGUAAUGGCCCACCAAGGCUAUAACAGGUACGGGCUCUGAGAGGAGAAGCCCGGAGAUGGGUACUGAGACACGGACCCAGGCCCUAUGGGGCGCAGCAGGCGAGAAACCUUAGCAAUGUGCGAAAGCACGACUAGGUUAAUCCGAGUGAUUUCUGUUGAAGAAAUCUUUUGUCAGUCGUAAAACCACAGACGAAUAAGGGGUGGGCAAGUCUGGUGUCAGCCGCCGCGGUAAUACCAGCACCUCGAGUGGUCAGGAGGUUUAUUGGGCCUAAAGCAUCCGUAGCCGGCUACGCAAGUCUCCGGUUAAAUCCAGCUGCUCAACAGAUGGGCUGCCGGAGAUACUACAUAGCUAGGGAGCGGGAGGGGUAGACGGUAUUCUGUGGGUAGGGGUAAAAUCCACUGAUCCAUAGAGGACCACCAGUGGCGAAGGCGGUCCACCAGAACGCGCUCGACGGUGAGGGAUGAAAGCUGGGGGAGCAAACCGGAUUAGAUACCCGGGUAGUCCCAGCUGUAAACGAUGCAAACUCGGUGAUGCAUUGGCUUAUGGCCAAUGCAGUGCCGCAGGGAAGCCGUUAAGUUUGCCGCCUGGGAAGUACGGACGCAAGUCUGAAACUUAAAGGAUUGGGCGGGGGAGCA
RNAcentral lists this ribosomal RNA (869 nucleotides) under uncultured archaeon. RNAcentral's name for it is "bacterial SSU rRNA". It matches the Rfam family "Archaeal small subunit ribosomal RNA", at positions 1 to 878 of the family's 1478-position model. The record is from RNAcentral.